UGGGGAAUAUUGCACAAUGGGCGCAAGCCUGAUGCAGCCAUGCCACGUGUAUGAAGAAGGCCUUCGGGUUGUAAAGUACUUUCAGCGGGGAGGAAGGGAGUAAAGUUAAUACCUUUGCUCAUUGACGUUACCCGCAGAAGAAGCACCGGCUAACUCCGUGCCAGCAGCCGCGGUAAUACGGAGGGUGCAAGCGUUAAUCGGAAUUACUGGGCGUAAAGCGCACGCAGGCGGUUUGUUAAGUCAGAUGUGAAAUCCCCGGGCUCAACCUGGGAACUGCAUUUGAUACUGGCAAGCUUGAGUCUCGUAGAGGGGGGUAGAAUUCCAGGUGUAGCGGUGAAAUGCGUAGAGAUCUGGAGGAAUACCGGUGGCGAAGGCGGCCCCCUGGACGAAGACUGACGCUGAGGUGCGAAAGCGUGGGGAGCAAACAGG
RNAcentral lists this ribosomal RNA (429 nucleotides) under Chloroflexota bacterium. RNAcentral's name for it is "Chloroflexi bacterium partial 16S ribosomal RNA". It matches the Rfam family "Bacterial small subunit ribosomal RNA", at positions 355 to 776 of the family's 1533-position model. Lineage: Bacteria; Bacillati; Chloroflexota. The record is from RNAcentral.